GGUAGAGGGACAAAACAUUAUGAAAGGUAAUAGCUUUAUUGAGAGAGUUUUUUAUUUUUAUUUUUUUGAGAGAUAGGUAGCAGGCUACCCGCUUUGUUUAUUUCAUUUAGAAAUAAACUUGGCUAGAAAUAUAAAUCAACUAGGAUUCGAAUUUGGGUCUCGGGUACCAACCAUCAAACCUUUUGCCAUUUGCUCUAGGAACGGUCGGUAUAUUGAGAGAAUUAUAUG
Molecule: long non-coding RNA, 228 nt
Filed under: Ananas comosus (pineapple)
Lineage: Eukaryota; Viridiplantae; Streptophyta; Magnoliopsida; Poales; Bromeliaceae
Description: long non-coding RNA (ACOM_LNC015952)
Source: RNAcentral